This 584-nucleotide long non-coding RNA is filed under the name Cottoperca gobio. Its description in RNAcentral is "lncRNA (ENSCGOG00000020694.1)". The record is from RNAcentral. Lineage: Eukaryota; Metazoa; Chordata; Actinopteri; Perciformes; Bovichtidae.
AAUAUACAAAGUUUAAUCAUCUUGACAUACCACUCAACCAUACCACAGACAAUUCCCUGAUUUUUCAGAAAAUGAGAGAAACCUUUCAGCACCGUCAGACGCUUGUUAAUGACCCAAGCAGAGGUGUUGAUACCCUCUCCAUCUUCCCAAGAUUCCUGGAUACCAAAGGAUUGGUAAGUUUGGAAUUAAAUGUUUACAAUGGCUUGACGUAUUUCCUGUAGUAGUAACGGUAAUAUCUUCUUUCGUAAAGGUGGAUCAAGACUUCACCCUCCUAUUUGAUCAUGAAACAUCCUCCAGGCCCCUUCAGAAAUGGGAUUCUUCAGUCCAAAUGUCAUAAAAGAGGCUAAGUGGCUUACUUCAACACCCAGAGUUGCGUCGCUUGUUGCAGAGAGUCCCACAGGAAGUGAUCUUGAUGAGACAACAAUCAUGCUGCAGUUUGGAGGAGCAUCUCCGCAACCAGCAGGGUCGGCAGCCAUACCUCCUCGCUGUUGGGCGUCAGAAGAGCAAGAUUGACAGCUUCUACAUCACCAUGGAUAAGCAUCUCAUCCCACGGCAGGCAAACCGCUCCCUGCCUUGGGGCUUUC